Molecule: long non-coding RNA, 212 nt
Filed under: Olea europaea (common olive)
Lineage: Eukaryota; Viridiplantae; Streptophyta; Magnoliopsida; Lamiales; Oleaceae
Description: long non-coding RNA (OEUR_LNC009188)
Source: RNAcentral
ACAUUUCUAUGGAGUGGGGUACACUAUACCUCUCCCUAAGUUCCCCCAACCUCUUCCACGUCAUGUUCGAAGGUACCCUAGACGCCCCCCACUCCUGGGUAUAAUCUACAGGCUCCUCGGUCAUGGCAUACCUAUCCACCUCGGACUUCCCCAUCUGACCGACCCCAUAGUCUAAAGACGCCACUGUCACUAGCUCCCUACCCAAAGUGGAC